This 340-nucleotide long non-coding RNA is filed under the name Pan troglodytes (chimpanzee). Its description in RNAcentral is "lincRNA". Lineage: Eukaryota; Metazoa; Chordata; Mammalia; Primates; Hominidae. The record is from RNAcentral.
GCGAGAGCUAGGUUCCUGCUCUCCUGAAAGCCUCGGAGGCCCAGAGCGGGGAGCAGCGGGCCUGCAACCUGGGAACCCUGAAAGGAAGCAGGUCCUCUGUAAGAUGGGGCUGCAUCCCUGCCCCGCUCCCAGCAGCAUGGGGUCAGAUGCAAAAACUGAGGCUCAGGGGAGUGAAGUGACCCAUCCAAGGUCACACAGCUUGUCCGUGGCAGAGCUGGGUUUCAACCCCAGGGAGAAACCAAUGCAGUGCUGCAUAUCCAAUCACUAUUGAGUGCUUCUCCUUCGUCCAUAACAUUCAGCACGGAGAACAGUGCCUGGCACAUAGUAGGUGCUUAAUAAA